GGGCCCGCACAAGCGGUGGAGCAUGUGGUUUAAUUCGAUGCAACGCGAAAAACCUUACCUACCCUUGAAUCCUCGGAAGGCUCUAGAGAUAGAGCUGUGCCUUCGGGAACCGAGUGACAGGUGCUGCAUGGCUGUCGUCAGCUCGUGUCGUGAGAUGUUGGGUUAAGUCCCGUAACGAGCGCAACCCUCGUCCUUAGUUACCAGCAAUUCGGUUGGGGACUCUAAGGAGACUGCCGGUGAUAAACCGGAGGAAGGUGGGGACGAUGUCAAGUCAUCAUGGCCCUUACGGGUAGGGGCUACACACGUGCUACAAUGGCUGGGACAAAAGGGAUGCGAAACGGUAACGUUGAGCC
This 353-nucleotide ribosomal RNA is filed under the name uncultured bacterium. Its description in RNAcentral is "bacterial SSU rRNA". It matches the Rfam family "Bacterial small subunit ribosomal RNA", at positions 917 to 1269 of the family's 1533-position model. The record is from RNAcentral.